This 506-nucleotide ribosomal RNA is filed under the name uncultured bacterium. RNAcentral's name for it is "partial 16S ribosomal RNA". It matches the Rfam family "Bacterial small subunit ribosomal RNA", at positions 30 to 523 of the family's 1533-position model. The record is from RNAcentral.
AUUGUACGCUGGCGGCAUGCCUUACACAUGCAAGUCGAACGGCAGCACAGAAGAGCUUGCUCUUUGGGUGGCGAGUGGCGGACGGGUGAGUAAUGUCUGGGAAACUGCCCGAUGGAGGGGGAUAACUACUGGAAACGGUAGCUAAUACCGCAUAACGUCGCGAGACCAAAGUGGGGGACCUUCGGGCCUCACACCAUCGGAUGGUCCCAGAUGGGAUUAGCUAGUAGGUGGGGUAAUGGCUCACCUAGGCGACGAUCCCUAGCUGGUCUGAGAGGAUGACCAGCCACACUGGAACUGAGACACGGUCCAGACUCCUACGGGAGGCAGCAGUGGGGAAUAUUGCACAAUGGGCGCAAGCCUGAUGCAGCCAUGCCGCGUGUAUGAAGAAGGCCUUCGGGUUGUAAAGUACUUUCAGCGGGGAGGAAGGCGGUGAGGUUAAUAACCUUGCCGAUUGACGUUACCCGCAGAAGAAGCACCGGCUAACUCCGUGCCAGCCGCCGCGGUAA